Molecule: ribosomal RNA, 253 nt
Filed under: uncultured bacterium
Lineage: Bacteria
Description: partial 16S ribosomal RNA
Rfam family: Bacterial small subunit ribosomal RNA
Source: RNAcentral
UACGUAGGGUGCAAGCGUUGUCCGGAAUUAUUGGGCGUAAAGGGCUCGUAGGCGGUCUGUCACGUCGGGAGUGAAAACUCAGGGCUUAACCCUGAGCCUGCUUCCGAUACGGGCAGACUAGAGGUAUGCAGGGGAGAACGGAAUUCCUGGUGUAGCGGUGAAAUGCGCAGAUAUCAGGAGGAACACCGGUGGCGAAGGCGGCUUGCUGGGCCAGUUCUGACGCUGAGGCGCGAAAGCGUGGGGAGCAAACAGG